This is a long non-coding RNA of Bos taurus (domestic cattle), 1915 nucleotides long. The record is from Ensembl. Lineage: Eukaryota; Metazoa; Chordata; Mammalia; Artiodactyla; Bovidae.
GGGACUUGGUGAGGAGAGCAAAUUUAAAGGCCCCCAGAGGAGACUAAGCUUGAUGAUAAGAUGAAGGCCACGCCAGCAUCACCACACAAGGAGAGAGGUGGAAAGAGACAAGAAGAGGUGGUUGUAUUAGUUUCCUAUGGCUGCUAUGGUGGCUCAAAACAAGAGAAAUUCAUUGUCUCAUAAACCAGGAGGCCAGAAGUUGAAAUUAAGGUGUCUGCAGAGUUGUUCUCUUCAAGAGGUUCUAAGGAAAAAUCUGUCCCAUGUGUUUCUCUCAGCUACUGGUGGUGGCUGGUGGGCCUUGAUGUUCCUGGACUUAGACCCGCGACCUUCUAAUCUCAGUCUCCACCUUCAUCCCUAUGUCUCCUCUCUGCCUUGGAGUCUCUUUUCUUCUUGGGAGGACAUCAGUCAUAUCAGAUUCAGAGUCAUGCUUAUCCAGUAUGACCUCAUCCUUAUAUAACUGAUUACAUCUGCAGAGACCCUGUUUCCAAACUAGCUCACUUUCUUAGGCUCCAAGGGACAUCAUUCAACCGAGCACAGAGGGCCACCGAUUGUCAGAUCAUACAGGGGCUGGUGACUCUUUGCAUGGAACUUGGGUUUUUGUGUUGUUCUGUUUUUCUAAAUGCAACCUUAAAUCUCCAGAAGAUUUUUAGCAGAGGAGAGAAGUAAUCUAAUAUAUACAUUGGAUCAUUCUGACCAGUAUAUAAAGAAAGAGUUCUCAGUAGAAGAGAAAAGACAUACGAAAAGCCAGUGCACUGACUCCUGCAGUCAUUAAGGAGAGAGAUGAUAGAGGCUUGAAGCGAGCGUGUUGGCAUUUACAGCCGAGGGGUGUGGACCUUGGGGGAAGGAUCUGAAGGAUAGGUGGUAUAAGACCUCAUCCUGGUCUCAACAUCAUAGCUGUGUGUCUCCACAUCAUAGCUGUGUGUCUCCACAAAGGAUGAAGAGGGAGUUGCCUUUGAAGAUCAAGUUCAGGCACUAUGCUGGAUUCACAAACCAGAUCUGCUAACUUGGAUAUAUAUUUUCCCCCUUAUCUUCAACUUCCCACUUGGUUUUCUGUGAAUAUUUGUAUAUUCUGGUCAUUUCAUUCACAGGUGGAUGAAAAAAUUUGCCCCAGGGAAGCAGAAGGGCAUGAAAAGGAAAGGCCUUCCCAGCAAAGUGAAGCAAAAGGCAACACAGCCCAAUUCUGUUCUUAUUUAUUAAUCAGAAAAAAAAAUAAAACUUUAAAUAUCUGAAAAAUAUUAUUUUCCCUAUCCCUGGGGAAAACAUUGCACACAGGCAAAUAUAGAUUUUGCAUACAGCUUCAAGGAAUUUCUAGAAUGCCUGAGUUCACUUAUGAAUAUCAAUUUCAAGAUUUCCGACUUUAACACUCAAAAAAAAAAAAGGAAAAGGAGGGGAGAGGGGAGUAGAGAAGGGAGAAGUGAAUGAGAGGAGAAGAUUAAAGCCAUCAUAAGAAACUGAGUGGAAAUACAUGUUUUUUUUCAUAUACCAACCUACUGAAAAGUUCAGAUUUUUCAAUACCUUCCCAGACUCAGCACUCAACACCUAAAUGCCAUGAAUUGUUCUUCCCCCACUUAGUGAAAUGUCAUCAACAAUGCCUUUCCUUUUUCCAUGUAGCAUAUCCACUGAAGCAAGACAGAGAAAAGAGAAUGGUAAAAAGAAAUCUCAUUGCAUUUAAGAUUGUGCACUUGAUAAAACUGUUUUCUUAGCCAGACAAAGUGUGAAAUUCUCUUCAUGGUUUUUAGUUUAAGUAAUUUGAUCGGAUGAGCAUUCAGCUUGUCGCCCAGAGCUGCUCCAUUACGCUGAGUGCUUCCCCCAAACUGCUUCCUCUUAUCCAGCUCCUUCUCCACUGAUGGAACAAGAUUAACAGGAUUAGGUGUCUUUCAUUUGUUCCUUUUUAUCAGGCAAGACUCUAUUACUC